This is a long non-coding RNA of Megalobrama amblycephala (Wuchang bream), 2734 nucleotides long. RefSeq lists it as uncharacterized. The record is from RefSeq and is a predicted model, not a curated record. The transcript has 3 exons. Lineage: Eukaryota; Metazoa; Chordata; Actinopteri; Cypriniformes; Xenocyprididae.
UACCCUUAACUACUGAUAUAAUAAAUAAAGAAUUUGUGUUGUGUUUAAAUGGUUUUAUAAUAUCUGCGUCACAUAUAUUUCCUUCUGUGUGGGGGUAGAUUGGACUCUUGCCAUAGAAUUUGAUUACGUAUGUCUGUGCGCAUAAACUCCGAUAUGUCAUAAUAAGAGUCCCAUGCAACAUGACGGGAGCCACCGUGCCAUAUGUUCUUUCGUUUGGGUUUAUUAUCACGUCAGAUCGACUAGAUGCACAGAAUGUGGGAAAACAAUUAAAGACACCGGAACAACAUCAUAAAAUUUUAUGAGACAUCGCAUCCACAAAGUCCCUUCAGCUCUGUAGGAACCAUGAGUUCACCUCAGGUCGACAGGUGAAGAUCUCUGUAAAAUGCCAGACAGAGUUUGAGAUUGGAACGGAAGUGCCAGUGAAGUGGCUCCACCGGCAGGUCUUUCUACCUCAUCUGUGAUGCCGUUUCCUUCUGCGGGCACAUGAUAAUCGGGCUCACAAACAAACCCAUGUGAACAGCAUCCCAGUUUCUCCACAUGAGCCGUCUGGAUCACAAAGCCAGGAAUGCGAGGUGAUCGGCACAAGGCCGUGAUCAAAACAGUGGGCCGUGUUUAUCAUCUCCCAUUGUGAGCUGCUUUUACCCAGAAUGCAGAUGAUGUCAUUUCCCUUUUGGUAGCAUCCUCUAGGACAAACCCCAAUAGUGCAAACUUUCAUGUUUUAGGAAAAUAUAAACAUUGCAUGAUUACAUGUUUACAACUUUUCCCAGUGCAUUUUCCAAAAACAUUUCCCAAUGCAUACUUUUCAAAUCACAGAAUGUUACUGAUUUUCAACUUUCAAAUUCAGAGGAUCUGUUACCUAUAACUUGAAUAAAUGCAUGUACUGCAAAAAGCGAGCUUCUUCCUUCAGUGUUUUUGUCUUGUUUUCCAGUAACUAUCUAAACAUUCUUAAAUUAGAAUACAUUUACUUGAAAAGUAAUGAUAACAAGUCUUAUUUUAUGAAAAGAAAUGCAUGAAAAUUAAGUGAAUUUAUGCUUAAAAUAAUAAGUCUAAUGGGGUCAGAAAAACAAUCUUGUUUUCCCUUUAAGUUAAGUUAAGUUUAUUUUUCUGACCCCACUGGCAGAUAUUUUUUCUUGUUUUAAGCAUAAAGCCAAAUAUAAUUUAAUAUUGUGAGUAAUUCUGCUUCUUAUGUAAAUGUAUCUUGAUUUAAGAGUGUUUACUGAACAAAUGUGCAUGGUUGCAAGUUAAAAAUUCUAAUUUGUUGAUUUAAUUAAACCUUUUAAGUUGCAAACAUUAUUUUGAUGAGUUUUGUUGAUUACAUCAACUUAAAAAACACAAUAUUAAACUGGGAUUUCUACAUCAAAUUUGACAAGCUAUAAUAAAUGAUCUAUGGGGUAUUUUGAGCUGAAACUUCACAGACACAUUCUGGGGACACCAGAGACUUAUAUUACAUCUUGUAAAAGGGGGCAUUAUAGGUCCCCUUUAAAUUGAAAUGUUAUAUAAGUUAUUUUAGUAUGUGCUAUACUAGCUGUUGAUUUAGAUAAGAUAAAUUGGUUCCACAGCCACAACCCAGUUAGUUAAAGUAAUCAACUUAAAAAUGUGUGUUUAUGCUGAAAAUAAGUUCAUCUAACUCAGUGAAGUUUAUUGGUUGAAUCAUUUAUUACUGUUUGUCCACUAUAUAUAUUAUAUAUUACUAUAUAUAACAAUAUAUAUAACAAUAUAUUACUGUUUUGAAACAGUCUAUAAAGGUGACUUGAUGUAGUUUGGAUUGAAAUGAGCAGGUGUCAUAAACCGCGUCGGGUCUGCAGCGUACGGUCAGUGGAGAACAAUACCUGGCUGUUCACAGCGACAGGCUAUUAACAAACAGCCUUUGAUCUCUAGAGCGGCACGAGAAACAAAGUAACAGAGUCACAGAAGGUCAGUAAUAUCUCAAAGAACCAACGCUGCCGUGGAAUAAAGGCACAAAAGACAAAGCAAAGAAAAUACGGUUUCAUGCACGUAAACCAAAACAAAAAUCCUGGCAUGAUAUUAUCUGGAGCGACUCAGACACUCCAUAAGUGUGUGUAUCAUCUGAACACAAAAAGGGUUUAAAAUCUGCUUAGUUACAGAAAGAGAGUUUCCUCAUUCAGUCAGCAAGAUUGAACUUCUGGCAUUUUGCCACUUAUUGUACAGGCAAAAUGCAUACUAUGUAUAGACCAGUUUGGAGCAGACGUCACAGUUACGUCACUUGUAGCUGCGCACAUAGUGCUGGCAGAAAAAUAGUGGUAGUAAAAGGUGCAAAAAUUAGAAAAAUGUUUUGUUCCACCUGUGCAUGUCAGAAUUGGAAUGUCUUAAUUUUUAUAGAAUACCAUUGUUGCCAUUUGAAGCUGCUGAAUGCAGAUGUUUAUGUUGCAAGUCACAGACUGAACUGAUGAAAGCGGCAAUGAUUAUUCUACUAUUAAAGUAUGAAUUUGAUGUAAAUAGUAAGUCUACAUAAUAUUCACAUAUCGUUAGCCUCAUAGCAUAAAAAGUCAUUUUUUUGUCCAAAUUGUGAUAUCUGCCUUUGAAAUAUGAUCUGGGCAAUUAUGUUAUGAGGCUAACGAUAUGCAGUUCAUAGAGGACAUACAUAUAUAACAGUUACAGCACGAAAUAAUAUUUAAACCUAUAACAUAACUUUUAAACAUAGCCUAUAACAUUUUUAUCUCACAAUUCUGACUUUUUUUCUUGCAUUUGCGAGUUUAUAUCUCCCAGUUUGGAC